Molecule: ribosomal RNA, 405 nt
Filed under: uncultured bacterium
Lineage: Bacteria
Description: bacterial SSU rRNA
Rfam family: Bacterial small subunit ribosomal RNA
Source: RNAcentral
GGGGAAUAUUGCACAAUGGGCGGAAGCCUGAUGCAGCGACGCCGCGUGAGGGAUGAAGGCCUUCGGGUUGUAAACCUCUUUCGACAGGGACGAAGCGCAAGUGACGGUACCUGUAGAAGAAGCACCGGCCAACUACGUGCCAGCAGCCGCGGUAAGACGUAGGGUGCAAGCGUUGUCCGGAUUUAUUGGGCGUAAAGAGCUCGUAGGCGGCUUGUUGCGUCGACUGUGAAAACCCGCGGCUUAACCGCGGGCUUGCAGUUGAUACGGGCAGGCUAGAGUUCGGUAGGGGAGACUGGAAUUCCUGGUGUAGCGGUGAAAUGCGCAGAUAUCAGGAGGAACACCGGUGGCGAAGGCGGGUCUCUGGACCGAUACUGACGCUGAGGAGCGAAAGCGUGGGGAGCGAAC